RNAcentral lists this ribosomal RNA (294 nucleotides) under uncultured bacterium. RNAcentral's name for it is "partial 16S ribosomal RNA". It matches the Rfam family "Bacterial small subunit ribosomal RNA", at positions 775 to 1067 of the family's 1533-position model. The record is from RNAcentral.
GGAUUAGAUACCCUGGUAGUCCACGCCGUAAACGAUGAGUGCUAGAUGUCGGGGUUUAGGCUUCGGUGUCGCAGCUAACGCAUUAAGCACUCCGCCUGGGGAGUACGGCCGCAAGGUUAAAACUCAAAGGAAUUGACGGGGGCCCGCACAAGCGGUGGAGCAUGUGGUUUAAUUCGACGCAACGCGCAGAACCUUACCAGCUCUUGACAUGGGAAGUAUGAUUACCGGAGACGGUUUUCUUCAGUUCGGCUGGCUUCCACACAGGUGCUGCAUGGCUGUCGUCAGCUCGUGCUG